GACGAACGCUGGCGGCGUGCUUAACACAUGCAAGUCGAACGGAAAGGCCCUGCUUUUGUGGGGUGCUCGAGUGGCGAACGGGUGAGUAACACGUGAGUAACCUGCCCUUGACUGUGGGAUAACUUCAGGAAACUGGUGCUAAUACCGGAUAGGAGCGCCUGCUGCAUGGUGGGGGUUGGAAAGUUUAGGCGGUUGGGGGUGGACUCGCGGCUUAUCAGCUUGUUGGUGGGGUAGUGGCUUACCAAGGCUUUGACGGGUAGCCGGCCUGGGAGGGUGACCGGCCACAUUGGGACUGAGAUACGGCCCAGACUCCUACGUGAGGCAGCAGUGGGGAAUAUUGCACAAUGGGCGGAAGCCUGAUGCAGCAACGCCGCGUGCGGGAUGCCGGCCUUCGGGUUGUAAACCGCUUUAGCCUGUGACGAAGCGUGAGUGACGGUACUGGGUAAAGAAGCACCGGCUAACUACGUG
This 468-nucleotide ribosomal RNA is filed under the name uncultured bacterium. RNAcentral describes it as "partial 16S ribosomal RNA". It matches the Rfam family "Bacterial small subunit ribosomal RNA", at positions 28 to 507 of the family's 1533-position model. The record is from RNAcentral.